CGCGGAACGACAUGGGCAGCCCCGGCGGAAACUGCAGGCACAAGCCGGGACGCCGCGGGUUUAAAACAUGCGCGUGAGAGGAAGACAAACAUAAAGAUGAAGUGCUUAAUUCAAGGUCACACAAUGUCGGGGAUGGACCUCCAGAUUUCCUUACUGGUGAGACGUGGUCUUGUAACACAGUGGUUAAGAAUGUGACUUUGGAGCCAGCCUGCUAGGGGCUGAAUUCUGACUCAGCCAUUUACUAACUGUGUGACCUUAGGUCACAGAAUUUUCCACACUCCUUGACAGAGGUGCUUAACCCUUAUCCAUCAGCAUUCUCAGACAGCACCUCCGGUUAGGGACAGUAUCUGACCGUCCGACAUCCCUGCAGCCCCCAUGUGUCACACAGACUCAGCCUCAGGUAGAUGGUUUCCGUAGAUGGUGGCUUUCUUUGGACCCUUGACAUCAACCAGUUACUAUUUGACUCUUCUGCAGAACCCCAUGUUGACCCCUGCUUUGAGGUGGCAGAGUUAACACUACUCUUCGUUAUAAGCUCUCGUCUGGGGCAACUCAGAAGAACGGGACCAGAUGUGCAGAGGUAAUGAAUACCAGGGAAUCAGGAAACCACUGGAUCAGUUCUUUGAGCCACAGAACAACACUCAUCCCAGCAGCUGGGAAGCUAUCUGCAAAAGUCCAUCUGCAGAAAGGGCUUCCUGGUCUUGCGUGUGGCUGGGCCAUUUCUCUGGAUGCAGGUUUUUCAUUAUACAGUCUUCUCAAAGAACCACCUGCUCUCAACACCUUCUCGGUGACUCCAUUUCCCCUCCUCUGGGCUCCUGGAAUGCCACAAUGGCCCCACCUUAGCCAGGCAGCUGUGAUGAGAGGUGUUGACCCAACUGCCUCUCUGCUGGCUCACUGAAUCAGGU
This 902-nucleotide long non-coding RNA is filed under the name Homo sapiens (human). Its description in RNAcentral is "non-protein coding PCBP1-AS1:23". The record is from RNAcentral. Lineage: Eukaryota; Metazoa; Chordata; Mammalia; Primates; Hominidae.